This 509-nucleotide ribosomal RNA is filed under the name uncultured bacterium. RNAcentral's name for it is "bacterial SSU rRNA". It matches the Rfam family "Bacterial small subunit ribosomal RNA", at positions 17 to 518 of the family's 1533-position model. The record is from RNAcentral.
UCCUGGCUUAGGAUGAACGCUAGCGGCAGGCUUAACACAUGCAAGUCGAGGGGCAGCGGGAUGUAGCAAUACAUUGCCGGCGACCGGCGGAUGGGUGCGUAACGCGUAUGCAACCUACCUUAUACAGGGGAAUAACCUUUCGAAAGGGAGACUAACACCCCAUAGUAUUGAUUUAAGGCAUCUUAGAUUAAUUAAAUAUUUAUAGGUAUAAGAUGGGCAUGCGUAUGAUUAGCUAGUUGGUAAGGUAACGGCUUACCAAGGCGACGAUCAUUAGGGGUUCUGAGAGGAAGGUCCCCCACACUGGUACUGAGACACGGACCAGACUCCUACGGGAGGCAGCAGUGAGGAAUAUUGGUCAAUGGGCGCAAGCCUGAACCAGCCAUGCCGCGUGCCAGGAAGACGGCCUUAUGGGUUGUAAACUGCUUUUACAUAAGACUAACCGUAUAUUUGCGAAUAUACCUGAAUGUAUUAUGAGAAUAAGGAUCGGCUAACUCCGUGCCAGCAGCCGC